UUGCAAGACCUUCGGGAAUCCUAUAUAAAUAUCGAACUACCCCACACCCAUUUCUUGACACCUCAGUCCGAUAAGACUUUUCGACACCCUCACAAACCCACAACCUUUUACCAUCCUCUGUUUAACCCGCAACAUCUUUUCGCUCAAACCGCAUACUCGUCGGAGAAGUCGGGUCGUCGCCGGAGAGUUACGGGCCUCGCCGGACCUGCAAGUGGUCGGAGACGUACCGACGCCGGAGUUUACGGAGACCACGACGGAGUCUCGUUCCCGUAUCAGUUCGGGAAAUCCCGUUCGUUCUCUUGGACUAUUCUCAUCUUUACUCGUGCGUACUUACAAGAAAUCGCAACGCAAUCGAUUUGAACGUGUUAAUCUCAAUGCUCUUGAGUCUUGGGGUAUUGCGAUGUUGAACGAUAUGUGAACCAUAUGUGAACGAUGUUGAACGAUAUGUGAACGAUAUGUGAACGAUGUUGAACGAUGUUGAACGAUGUUGAACGAUGUUGAACAAUGUUGAACGAUGUUGAACGAGGUUGAACGAUAUUGAAUGACAAAGUAGUAACAUGUAUCAUUUUAUUCAUGUUGGAUAUGAGUACAUUUUAAACAUUUUAUUCUACUAUGCUAUGUAUCAAACUUGUAUACUCGCCAACGUUUUGUUGAUUGUACUUUAAUACAUGUUGCAUGUUGAUAGAUGAAGAAUUCAAGAAUUAAGUUAGGGUGGACUAGAAACUCACCUAGAAAAUAAACUAUGGUUGAAAGAUGAUUUAUGAUUUAAUCAUGUUGAGACAAUGUAUUUGUUAUGUUGUUUUGAGCAAUUUGUUCGUCUCAUCCUGAUGU
Molecule: long non-coding RNA, 831 nt
Filed under: Helianthus annuus (common sunflower)
Lineage: Eukaryota; Viridiplantae; Streptophyta; Magnoliopsida; Asterales; Asteraceae
Description: hypothetical non coding rna
Source: RNAcentral